GGGUCAGUAGGUUGGUCGUGCCACCGGUACGUACUGGUCUCACUGAUUCCUCCUUCCUGAAGAACCGUAAUGCCAUUAAUUUGGUGUUGCGGGGAAACAGGACUGUUACUUUGAAAAAAUUAGAGUGUUUAAAGCAAGCUAACGUUUGAAUACAUUAGCAUGGAACAAUGGAAUAGGACGAUCGAUCCUAUUUUGUUGGUUUCUAGGAUUGACGUA
RNAcentral lists this ribosomal RNA (216 nucleotides) under Glomeromycotina sp. Its description in RNAcentral is "partial small subunit ribosomal RNA". The stretch from base 40 to 216 matches the Rfam family "Eukaryotic small subunit ribosomal RNA", at positions 686 to 864 of the family's 1831-position model. The record is from RNAcentral. Lineage: Eukaryota; Fungi; Glomeromycota.